AUUAUAUUUUUCUUGUAUGUGCAAUAUACUAUUUCAUUUUUUUAUUUUUUCUCUCCUUUUUAUAUUUGAAGCACAUGUCAACCAGCAUUAAGAUUUUCUUUAACUUUUUUGAUUUUGCAGUGGUGGUAGUCUCUCGGUAACUGAGGAUGACGAUUGUCUUUGUGCUUUUUUGUGCACAAAGACACCUGUGCAUGAAGAUGUAAGUGGAAAAGUUGAUGCACAGAGACAGUCCCACUCUCUCGGCGUUGGAAGCCUGGGUCCAGUCGCACGAAAAGUCAUUACACCUGGAGACUUCCUCAGCUGCAUUGGAUGGCCACAUUGUCUUUUGUGCUCCAACACGCUCUAAGCACUCCACAGUGCCUUGCUGCAUCACCAUCUCAGCUAUUGAACCUUCUUGUUGGUUUCUUCAGCCUGUUCCACCAAAACAGUCUUCACAUGCUGGGUUAAGAAAGAUGCUACCUCUCUGA
Molecule: long non-coding RNA, 467 nt
Organism: Monodelphis domestica (gray short-tailed opossum)
Lineage: Eukaryota; Metazoa; Chordata; Mammalia; Didelphimorphia; Didelphidae
Source: Ensembl